AGAAAGAAAGAAGAAAGCCAUGUGAACAUCAAUGUUUGUCCCAAACAGCAUGUCACCUGCAGAUCAGAUGAGUCAGCCUGCUCCUUGUCCAGAGGCAGGAGGAAAAAGCCUCCACCCGAGACAAUUCAAGCCUUAUCACCUCAGAGCUUCACCAGGCACCUGCAGCUCCUGUUUCUGGUCCAUGAUGUGGAAAAGACCCUGGAUGGAGGAGAGAAGUCUUAGCAUCCUGCAGGACUCCUCUCUUGCUUUGCCUGGCAAGGCUUGCACCAAGAGCCUCCGUGGUGAUCUUCCCCCUGGCUCUAUAUGAUUCUGAAGGAUCAGAGGAUAUUCCACCCAGAAGAAAAGAUUAAGUGGAAGGACCUGGCUGAACCCCGUGGGCUGCCUUUCUCUCCUCUCAAGCUGAACCAUGACAGCCCCAAGGCAGGAAGGAACAAGAAGCCAGGAAAACCUCAUGUUCAAAGCCAGUGGACUCAGUUUCCAAUGCUCUAUGACCCGAAGAGGUUCCUUCAUCUUGCUUAGCUUUAGCUUUGGUGCUGAGAUGGGUGGGCAGCACUGCAUGUCCCCACAAACGUCUGAGACGUUCUGUAGCUUUCAAUCAGGAAGAAAAGAAAAAAUCUGAUUCCUCAGGGCAGAGGAGGCAAUGGAGCCCCAGAAGAUCAGGCAGGUGCCGCAGAAGCCAGCUCACUCUGGUGGGCACAGGGGGGAGGGAAACCCUGGUCCUCAGCUUAGUCACUGCCACCCAGCCUUUGUGGUGCCUUGCCGUCCUACCUCUUCAGUGCUGGCCUGGCCCUGACCUGAGGCUCACCCACUGGCCCUCUUUCUGCAUUUGGCCUUGGGGCAGCUGAGAACAGGGCUGGGUGCUUGCCCUGCCUGGGAUACCUUUGGCCUCAGGCAGGUGGAGUCCUGAGCCAGGCUUUUAAAGGAACCACACCAUAAACAGGCCCUAUUCCCUUUACCAACUCCUACAGCCUCACAGCACCCAGGGUUAAGCAUGCAGGCCAGCCCUGGGGCAAGGCCUGCUGAUUUCAUCUGGAGGGGAACUAGAGGUCUCUUGGGUAAUGCUGGGGGUGGGAUGGGAGAAUCAGAGGAGCAAGGUUGGAAGACAAUAAUUUGGAAUUAAAGCCAACAGGGGCCAGGUGUUUAUCCAAAGAAAUACCUAAGUAUGUGCUUCAAGAGAACUGAGG
This is a long non-coding RNA of Mus spicilegus (steppe mouse), 1184 nucleotides long. The record is from Ensembl. NCBI's taxonomy places the organism in Eukaryota, Metazoa, Chordata, Mammalia, Rodentia, Muridae.